Molecule: long non-coding RNA, 749 nt
Filed under: Malus domestica (apple)
Lineage: Eukaryota; Viridiplantae; Streptophyta; Magnoliopsida; Rosales; Rosaceae
Description: long non-coding RNA (MDOM_LNC009326)
Source: RNAcentral
AAGGAUUUGAUGAAAGAGGUUUUUAAUUGUUACCUUUUUUGGGCACUUUUGACUUGAUUGAAAGAUGAUUGCCCACUGCUCGCGCGUAGGAAUCCCGGUAUGCCUCAAGGGUAUUUUUGUCCUCUUUUGUCCAAAAAACCACGUGGCGCCUAGUGAAUAUUUUUGGCUCCACAAAUGCCCCCACACCUGUUGGGCUGCUCGUAGAAAAGGGCAGCAGGUGUAGAGAUCUUCUUGCUUUAAGAAACUUAGGACUGCUUCCUAUUUUGAUGUAGAUUCUCUCUUUAAUAGGAAAUUAGAUCCUUAUAGGAAAGGGAAAUAAAUUUCUCUCAAAGCCUAUUUAAGUCCACCUUAAGUGGGUUAUUAAAUCAACUUUGGAGAGUGAUUUAUUCUACCCUACAAGAGAGAGAUAGCUUAGAGGAUAUUUGUUCCCCCUCCUCUAGCAGUCUUCUACAUCUUGCCCAUGCAAAGGACCGUCUUUCGUUGCUUUCUUCGUCUUCUUCGUGCCGCACUGAGGUAAGAAAAAAUUAAUUUUCCUUGUCUUCUUCUUGGAUGGUGCUACCGCGGGGCAGCCGUCGGGGUGGUGCAGCACGUCGGCUAGCAUGGGCCAGGAGUCGGCUCGGCAUGGGCCGAUGAGGUAUUGUGGCAGGGACCACUGCUUUAAGAUGCUUGACUUGGCUAGAACCAAUGGCAGUUUAUGUGGCUGGGGCCGCAGAUUAUGGCGCUGGGGCGCAGUACUAGGUGAGUCACAU